This 128-nucleotide non-coding RNA is filed under the name Thalassovita mediterranea. Its description in RNAcentral is "Thalassobius mediterraneus Ruegeria cis8 sRNA". It matches the Rfam family "Ruegeria cis8 sRNA". Rfam says of the family: Cis-encoded. Targets hypothetical protein. Lineage: Bacteria; Pseudomonadati; Pseudomonadota; Alphaproteobacteria; Rhodobacterales; Roseobacteraceae. The record is from Rfam by way of RNAcentral.
AUAGACAGCACUUUGGCGAUGUACGGGAUCAGUGGUAGGUUCAGGAUCAACAACACCAGAUUUCCAAUGUACAUCGAAAUGAUCACCGCCCAGAAGAUCUGAGGUUCGUCGAUCAUCAGACGCGGCCC